UUUCUGAGCAGCCCCGGGUUUCUCAGCUUCUGACUGUCUCCGGUGUGAGACCGCCAUUGCUAGUCUGCCAGGACCUCUUUCUUGGCUGGAAAAGGGACUUCUGAAGGGGUCACUGAAGUGUUGUCUCCUCUUUUAUUAGCUUCCACUUGGAUGGCAGAUGCACCUAAGCAUCAGUUGCUGACUACAACCUGCUCUGAA
Molecule: long non-coding RNA, 198 nt
Organism: Alexandromys fortis (reed vole)
Lineage: Eukaryota; Metazoa; Chordata; Mammalia; Rodentia; Cricetidae
Exons: 3
Source: RefSeq, a predicted model, not a curated record